Molecule: ribosomal RNA, 527 nt
Filed under: uncultured bacterium
Lineage: Bacteria
Description: SSU rRNA
Rfam family: Bacterial small subunit ribosomal RNA
Source: RNAcentral
CAGUUAGUUGGUGGGGUAAUGGCCUACCAAGACGAUGAUCAGUAGCUGGUCUGAGAGGAUGAUCAGCCACACUGGAACUGAAACACGGUCCAGACUCCUACGGGAGGCAGCAGUGGGGAAUCUUGCGCAAUGGACGAAAGUCUGACGCAGCCACGCCGCGUGAGUGAAGAAGGCCUUCGGGUUGUAAAGCUCUGUCACCUGGGACGAAAACACUGACGGUUAAUAGCCGUCGGAAUUGACGGUACCAGGGGAGGAAGCACCGGCUAACUUCGUGCCAGCAGCCGCGGUAAUACGAAGGGUGCAAGCGUUGCUCGGAAUUAUUGGGCGUAAAGGGUUGGUAGGUGGUCUUGUUUGUCUAAGGUGAAAUCCCAUGGCUUAACUGUGGAAGUGCCUUAGAAACGGCAAGACUAGAGUCCUAGAGGGGUUUGUGGAAUUCCCGGUGUAGCGGUGAAAUGCGUAGAGAUCGGGAGGAACACCAGCGGCGAAGGCGGCAAACUGGAUAGGCACUGACACUCAACAACGAAAGC